GAGCCUUUGAUUGCGCCUGGUGGCCUGCA
Molecule: small RNA, 29 nt
Filed under: Bombyx mori (domestic silkworm)
Lineage: Eukaryota; Metazoa; Arthropoda; Insecta; Lepidoptera; Bombycidae
Description: ovarian small RNA-15802
Source: RNAcentral